RNAcentral lists this RNase P RNA (370 nucleotides) under Candidatus Moraniibacteriota bacterium. Its description in RNAcentral is "RNase P RNA component class A". It matches the Rfam family "Bacterial RNase P class A". Rfam says of the family: Ribonuclease P (RNase P) is a ubiquitous endoribonuclease, found in archaea, bacteria and eukarya as well as chloroplasts and mitochondria. Its best characterised activity is the generation of mature 5'-ends of tRNAs by cleaving the 5'-leader elements of precursor-tRNAs. Cellular RNase Ps are ribonucleoproteins. The record is from RNAcentral. Lineage: Bacteria; Candidatus Moraniibacteriota.
AAAACAGAUUAGAUUAUCGCGCUACCAGGCUCCGUAAGGGGCUUGGAGUGAGGAAAGUCCGGACAUCGGGCCGCUCGUAAGGGUGGCAAAGGUAGUGGGUAACCCCCACACGCCGUGAGGCGCGAGGUGCGAGCAGAGACGCCUUCCUCCGAAAGGAGUGGGUAUCCAGCAAUGGAUAAGUUCUCGUAGUAAUGCGAGGAGUGAAACGGCUAAAUCCUUACCUCGAUGCAAGGUCGCGCCUAGAUCUUCUUGGAGCUCAGGAAGGGACGGGAGAACCGCAAAGAUCUGCCUGGCAACAGGCAGACAAGAGAAAUGAUAAUCAUCCGCCUUCCGGCGGAAACAGAAUCCGGCUUAUCGAUCUGUUUUGAAA